GUUAUGAGGGUCAAAAGUCAGAAAUCGUUCCUGCUUGCAGGAAAAGAGUUCUGACUUGUUGACCCGCGCACACAUGAGCACUGUCAUCAAUCUUUGAUUGAUGACCCUGUGAUUUUCCCAGGAAAAUCAACGGAUUGCGAAUGUGUGUAGAAUUGCGGGAGUUGCGGAGCAACGGAGCAAUUCGU
RNAcentral lists this small RNA (185 nucleotides) under uncultured Agathobacter sp. RNAcentral describes it as "Clostridiales-1 RNA". It matches the Rfam family "Clostridiales-1 RNA". Lineage: Bacteria; Bacillati; Bacillota; Clostridia; Lachnospirales; Lachnospiraceae. The record is from RNAcentral.